CACGCUUAGAAGGUUCUCACUAUAGUAUGAUGUUAUGAAGUUUGACACCUCCUCACGAAUGAAUGCCUCUGCUAUAGAAGCCUCAAUCCUGUCUUUGUUUCCACAUUUCUGGUGAAUAGUCUUUAGACAUCUCUCGAUUGGAUAGCACCAACGGUUCUGCACGGGCCCUCCCAAUCGUGCCUCAUUCGAGAGGUGCAAAAUCAAAUGCUGCAUCAACAAGAAAAAGCCAGGU
Molecule: long non-coding RNA, 232 nt
Filed under: Sorghum bicolor (sorghum)
Lineage: Eukaryota; Viridiplantae; Streptophyta; Magnoliopsida; Poales; Poaceae
Description: long non-coding RNA (SBIC_LNC018175)
Source: RNAcentral